This 492-nucleotide ribosomal RNA is filed under the name uncultured bacterium. RNAcentral describes it as "partial 16S ribosomal RNA". It matches the Rfam family "Bacterial small subunit ribosomal RNA", at positions 29 to 507 of the family's 1533-position model. The record is from RNAcentral.
AUUGAACGCUGGCGGCAUGCUUUACACAUGCAAGUCGAACGGUAACAGGCCUUCGGGUGCUGACGAGUGGCGAACGGGUGAGUAAUGCAUCGGAACGUGCCCAGAGGUGGGGGAUAACGCAGCGAAAGCUGUGCUAAUACCGCAUGUGAUCUGAGGAUGAAAGCGGGGGACCAGGCAGCAAUGUUUGGCCUCGCGCCUUUGGAGCGGCCGAUGUCAGAUUAGGUAGUUGGUGGGGUAAAGGCCUACCAAGCCGACGAUCUGUAGCUGGUCUGAGAGGACGACAAGCCACACUGGGACUGAGACACGGCCCAGACUCCUACGGGAGGCAGCAGUGGGGAACUUUGGACAAUGGGCGCAAGCCUGAUCCAGCAAUGCCGCGUGCGGGAAGAAGGCCUUCGGGUUGUAAACCGCUUUUGUACGGAACGAAAAGGCUCUGGCUAAUACCUGGGGCUGAUGACGGUACCGGAAGAAUAAGCACCGGCUAACUACGUG